This 225-nucleotide ribosomal RNA is filed under the name uncultured bacterium. RNAcentral describes it as "partial 16S ribosomal RNA". It matches the Rfam family "Bacterial small subunit ribosomal RNA", at positions 109 to 334 of the family's 1533-position model. The record is from RNAcentral.
CGUAACGCGUGGGUAACCUGCCUCAUACAGGGGGAUAACGAUUGGAAACGAUUGCUAAUACCGCAUAAGCGCACAGUACCACAUGGUGCAGUGUGAAAAACUCCGGUGGUAUGAGAUGGACCCGCGUCUGAUUAGCUAGUUGGUGAGGUAACGGCCCACCAAGGCAACGAUCAGUAGCCGACCUGAGAGGGUGACCGGCCACAUUGGGACUGAGACACGGCCCAG